This 332-nucleotide ribosomal RNA is filed under the name uncultured eukaryote. RNAcentral's name for it is "partial 18S ribosomal RNA". It matches the Rfam family "Eukaryotic small subunit ribosomal RNA", at positions 592 to 976 of the family's 1831-position model. The record is from RNAcentral.
CAAUAGCGUAUAUUAAAGUUGUUGCAGUUAAAAAGCUCGUAGUUGAAUUUCGGGUCCCCGCGCUCGGCGCUUCAUUGUGCCGUCGUGGUGUCCCUCCUCGCCGUAAGGCGUCCUUUACUGUGAAAAAAUUAGAGUGUUCAAGGCAGGCAAUCGCUUGAAUACAUUAGCAUGGAAUAAUAAGAUAGGAUCUUGUCUAUUUUGUUGGUUGCGGACAACGAUAAUGAUUAAUAGGGAUAGUUGGGGGUGUCCGUAUUGAGCUGUCAGAGGUGAAAUUCUUGGAUUUGCUCAAGACGAACUACUGCGAAAGCAUUCACCAAGGAUGUUUUCAUUAA